UGGUAUACUGUAAGUCAAGUAAAGGAAUAAUGGAAGUUCAAUUGAAUGGUGCAUCAGAAAAGGCACUUGUUUGCUUUAGAAUGCCAUUCAAUUCGUUUGUAGCAGUGCAUGGUGACAAUAUCUAUUAUACAAAUGUAGAAAACAAUUCUGUUACAUGCUACAAUAUCCAUGGAAAUCUAAAAUGGGAAUUUAAGGAUACACAAAACCUGCAAUAUCCACAGGGUAUAUCUGUAGACAACAAUGGAAACGUGUAUGUUGUCAGUAGGGAAACAAACAGCGUUGUCAUCAUUACCUCAGAUGGAAAGCGUUGCAGAACAAUAUUGUCCUCUCGUGAUGGCCUUAAUAUUCCGCGUGCAUUGCAUUUCGAACCAACAAGUAACAAGUUGUUAGUUUCCAAUGAAAAGAAGACCGCAUUUCUAUUUGAUGUUUCCUAAAACAACUACUUUAAC
This 449-nucleotide long non-coding RNA is filed under the name Mytilus galloprovincialis (Mediterranean mussel). The record is from RNAcentral. Lineage: Eukaryota; Metazoa; Mollusca; Bivalvia; Mytilida; Mytilidae.